This 10249-nucleotide long non-coding RNA is filed under the name Arabidopsis thaliana (thale cress). Its description in RNAcentral is "long non-coding RNA (ATHA_LNC000098)". Lineage: Eukaryota; Viridiplantae; Streptophyta; Magnoliopsida; Brassicales; Brassicaceae. The record is from RNAcentral.
ACAUGGCAUAGCUCAAGUAGGCAACAAGAUUUACUCUUUUGGUGGUGAGCUCAUACCAAAUCAGCCCAUCGAUAAACACCUUUACGUCUUUGACCUCGAGACCCGGACUUGGUCCAUUGCUCCAGCCACCGGAGACGUUCCACACCUCUCUUGCUUAGGUGUCCGUAUGGUGUCAGUAGGAUCGACCCUCUAUACCUUUGGAGGCCGAGACUUUUCACGCCAAUACAACGGUUUCUACUCGUUUGACACGACAACAAACGAGUGGAAACUGCUAACUCCGGUGGAAGAAGGACCCACUCCUCGUAGUUUCCAUUCGAUGGCAGCGGAUGAGGAAAACGUUUACGUUUUCGGUGGAGUGGGUGCUAUGGAUCGAAUCAAGACACUAGACUCUUACAAUAUCGUUGACAAGACGUGGUUUCAUUGUUCGAAUCCAGGAGAUUCCUUUAGCAUAAGAGGAGGAGCAGGGCUCGAAGUGGUGCAAGGGAAAGUAUGGAUUGUGUAUGGAUUUAACGGAUGUGAAGUAGAUGAUGUUCAUUUCUACGAUCCUGCUGAAGACAAAUGGACACAAGUGGAAACAUUCGGUGUGAAGCCUAACGAAAGGAGUGUUUUCGCUAGUGCGGCUAUUGGGAAACACAUUGUGAUAUUUGGAGGUGAGAUUGCGAUGGAUCCACGAGCUCACGUAGGUCCGGGUCAAUUAAUCGAUGGGACUUUCGCGUUGGAUACAGAGACGUUGCAAUGGGAGAGGUUAGAUAAGUUUGAGGGGACUCCGAGUAGCAGAGGAUGGACCGCGUCCACGACUGGAACCAUUGAUGGUAAGAAAGGACUUGUGAUGCAUGGUGGUAAAGCUCCAACCAAUGACCGGUUUGAUGACCUCUUCUUUUACGGAAUUGACUCUGUCUGAUUAAGCGCGAUUUGAUCAUGACCGUUUGUGUUUUAUUUGUUUGUGUGUCUGUGUGUCUGUGUGAUGCAAUAAGGGAGGGAUCGUGAUACCUCUAUAUGAUCCUUCGUCAGCUUAUCCAUUUUAUUUUUUAUUUUCUAAAUGUAUCUUUUUGUUUUUUGUUUUCUGUUUUGUAUGUUUAAUGUUUCGUGGCUUGUUCAAUAAGAUGUUUAUUUUCCGAAUUUUUUUUGGGUAUGUUACGUUAUACUACAAACAAAAAUAUUAUGAUUUUGAUUUUCUCUAAAGAUGAAAUGAAUAGAACAAGAAGUCAGCAGAUAGGGUGGUUUCAUCUACUUUUGUGGUUGGUAAAUGUGGUUAGAAAAAUUUGCAUUGAAUUGUAAGUUUCUAUCCAUAAAAGAAACAAAAAAUUAAUGUAAUCAAGAGUGGAAAGUUACCAAUGGAUUAUAAAAAUCUUGCAAUUCUAAUAAAUCCUCAUGUCAACGGUACAGAUAAGAUAAGGGUAAGGGGCAAACAAUCUUGUUGGUUCAAAUGGCAAGUAAACAAGGGCAAUUAUAUCCACCUAAUCCAUUGCGUUUUCUUUCUCUAAUCUUAGAAUCUACUUUAAUUGUAUGUUUUUCUCUUUCAUCUACUUUCCAAAACUAUAUAACCUCAUUUCUAUACUUUUUAUGCAUUUAUUUUGAAACCCCUUUAUCAAAAAAAAAAAAGGGGCCAAUUUUUCUUCAAAAAUGGUUACUUUAAGAUUCUCAUAUACAGUGUGCCAAAAAAAAAAAAGGUACCUAAAAUAUUUAUUAUUUCAGAUAUUGGUCAACAUAUUAUCUGUAACAGAAAAAUGUUCACGUGAUAUUUGCGAAUCACAUUUUUCUAGGGGCAAAAGUGAUAUAUGAGAAUCUUAAAGUAACCUUUUCUAGAAUAAUUGCCCUUGUUUACUUGCCACUGUAGUCAUUUAUUUAAUUUAUGUUCAAAAACAGAUUACCUACCUAAUUCACCGAAACGAAAAAUUUUGUUGCCAGUUUUUGUUUUUUUUAAUUUUUUUUUUCCUCUUUUUAGUUUACCUUCUCUUUUUUCUGUUCAACAUUAAACUAGAAGGUAGAGUAAUAAAUAACGAUGGAUGGAUGUGUUGAAAACGCGCUUUAUGCAUGAUUCAUACGAGAGCAGCUGAGGAGGAGACAAAAAACGGGUCUACACUAUAUCAGACUUUUUUUUGUUUUUUUGGUGUAAAACUAUAUCAGAUGGAAAAAUAUCAACCAAAUAAUGUAGAAACUAUAUCAAACUUUUAACAAAACUAUCAACCCAAUAUUUUAUAUUUUAUUAAAAAACAAUACUAAUAAUUUUUCCUUUUCCUCGUUUUUUUUUUUCUGAUCAACCAUUCACACGUUGUUUUUCGUAAUUAUGAUUCUGCAUAAUGCUUUCUCUAAAUCAAAAACUCCACGCCACGGUUCAACUGAUGUAGUGCCUCCACCGUUGUCGUUUGACUCGUUGCAGAGGACACCAUUAUGCACUUCGAUUCAUUUUCAAAAUCGUCUUUCUCUACUGAAUUGUUACUCCAUUUAAUUUUUUGGUCCAUAGAUAACAUAGACCAUUAUACUAGUAUGUUAAAUGUAUACUUAUCAGUUACCGCACAACAUUAAUUCUUAAAGAGGGUUCAUUUUCGAGAAUUGAGUACAACACUACCAUUAGGCCAAAAUGCGAGAGGCAAAAAAAGAUAUAGCAUAUACUUAUCAUGAAUAAUGAAAAUCUUUUCCAUCCAAAUAAAAAUCUUUCUUCUCAUAAAAGAAAGAAGAGAAAAAACAAUGAGUUUGCAUAUCUUUAUCCUGUAGAAUGAUAAUCUUCCCCAUCAACUACUGUAGAUCGUCAACGUGUACUCACUUCCAUUAUCGAUCGAAUCAUCAAUUUAAUGCCUCGUGAAUCACGAGAUCAUAUAAUAUGACAAGAAAUUCGUCCCGUUUAUCUACUGCUGGUCAAUAAAUACUCAUGCAAUUCCCACCAAUAGAUCACUCAACCAAUUUCUUCUCAGGUUCUCUCUUCACACCUCUCCCCUUCUCUAUGAUUAUAGAUAGUAUAUGAUUUGGUUAAAUUAUCUAUAUUUCUUUUUUGAUAAAGGAUUUGGUUAAAUUUUUAAUUGCAGGUAAUACUCGUAAGAUUUAUCAACACAAGCAAAAAAGAUGGCCCAAAAGCUAGAAGCAAAGGGUGGUGAGAUGGGAGAUGUAUGGGAUGAUGGUGUUUACGAAAAUGUUAGAAAGGUAUAUGUAGGGCAAGCACAAUACGGUAUAGCCUUCGUCAAGUUUGAGUAUGUCAAUGGUUCUCAAGUGGUUGUUGGAGAUGAACAUGGAAAGAAGACAGAGCUAGGAGUUGAAGAGGUACUAAAAUAGAUUUUUUUUUUUUUUUUUUUUUUUUUUUUUUUUUAGUCAAAAGGUACUAAAAUAGAUUUAUAUGUUGUGAUUGAUCAAGAGGUAGGGUCUUUUUUUUUUUUGUUGCUUUCCGCAUUGAAAAUUGCUUGGUUUCUUUGCAGUUUGAGAUUGAUGCGGAUGACUACAUCGUAUACGUGGAAGGUUACCGUGAGAAAGUUAACGAUAUGACGUCAGAAAUGAUCACGUUUCUUUCUAUUAAGACUUUUAAAGGCAAAACCUCUCAUCCUAUCGAAAAAAGACCUGGGGUUAAGUUUGUGCUACAUGGUGGAAAAAUCGUUGGGUUUCACGGACGUUCAACAGAUGUUUUACACUCCCUUGGGGCCUAUGUUUCUUUGUCAUCCACUAUCAAAUUGCUUGGGAAGUGGAUUAAGGUAAUAAUCUCUUAGACCAAUCCAAAAACAAAAAUAAAAAAUUAUCUCACAUAAAUAUGUUGUUAUUGUUACCACCGCAAAAUCACUAAAUCACUUACGAGAAAGAAAAAAUGAAGAAGAAAAGAGGGUUGAAUUUGGAAUUCAGAUAAUGACACUUUUAAAAUUUAUAAUUUUAUUAAAUUUAUCUUAUGGGAGUUCAUUAAUCAGAUAAAUAAUUUCUUUAAAAAUAACUAAAAAAUAUUACUCAUAGGUGGAGCAAAAAGGAGAAGGUCCAGGGCUAAGAUGCUCACAUGGCAUAGCACAAGUAGGCAACAAGAUUUACUCCUUUGGUGGCGAGUUCACACCAAAUCAGCCCAUCGACAAACACCUUUACGUCUUUGACCUCGAGACCCGGACUUGGUCCAUUUCUCCAGCCACCGGAGACGUUCCACACCUCUCUUGUUUAGGUGUCCGGAUGGUGUCAGUAGGAUCGACCCUCUAUGUCUUUGGAGGCCGAGACGCUUCACGCCAAUACAACGGUUUCUACUCGUUUGACACGACCACUAACGAGUGGAAACUGCUAACUCCGGUCGAAGAAGGACCCACUCCUCGUAGUUUCCACUCAAUGGCAGCCGAUGAGGAAAACGUUUACGUUUUCGGUGGAGUGAGUGCUACGGCACGACUCAAUACACUAGACUCUUACAACAUCGUUGAUAAGAAGUGGUUUCAUUGUUCGACUCCAGGAGAUUCCCUUACCGCAAGAGGAGGAGCAGGGCUCGAAGUGGUGCAAGGGAAGGUAUGGGUUGUGUAUGGGUUUAACGGAUGUGAAGUAGAUGAUGUUCAUUACUACGAUCCUGUUCAAGACAAGUGGACACAAGUGGAAACAUUCGGUGUGAGGCCUUCCGAAAGAAGUGUAUUCGCUAGUGCGGCUAUUGGGAAACACAUUGUGAUUUUUGGAGGUGAAAUUGCGAUGGACCCGCUAGCUCACGUGGGUCCAGGUCAAUUGACCGAUGGAACUUUUGCAUUGGACACAGAGACGUUGCAAUGGGAGAGGCUGGAUAAGUUUGGUGGAGAGGAAGAGACUCCGAGUAGCAGAGGAUGGACCGCGUCCACGACUGCUACCAUUGAUGGUAAGAAAGGACUUGUGAUGCAUGGUGGUAAAGCUCCAACCAAUGACCGGUUUGAUGAUCUCUUCUUUUACGGGAUUGACUCUGCCUAAUUAAGGCAGAUUUGGUGAUCAUGAACGUUUGUGAAUGUGUGUGUGUGUGUGUGGGUCUGUGUUUGUGUGUGUAAUAAGGGAGGGGUAUACCACCAUAUGAUCCUUCCCCAGCUUGACCAUUGUUUUUUUUUUAAUAUGUUUUUCUUUCUACAUGUUUGUUUCACGUUUCAUGUUGUAUCCAAUAAAUUGUGUACUUUCCUAGUAGUAAUCGCCAGAAAAAAAAAAAAAAAAAAAAAACCUAGUAGGUAGAGUCAUAGCUUACAAUUAAAUAAAUAACGAUGGAUGUGUUGAAAACGCGUUUAUGCAUGAUUCAUGAAUUGUAUAUACGAGAGCAGCCGAGGAGGAGAUAAAGAGAGGGGUCUACAAUGAUCAAUACUAACUUAAUUUUGUAGUGUUGUCAGUCAAUAAUGUAUACCUAUCAAAAUGGGGCCUAUAUUCCAUCACUAGUGAGUUCGUCAGUCAAUAAUGUAUUUUCCGACACUUAAAAAACGUUCCAAAUCAUAAUACUUAUAAUUAUAACCAGAUAAGUUUUACUGAAUCCCAGACUAAUUCUCAAACUUUGCUAUCAUGUUAUUAACAAACAUUACAAUGUAGAGAAAUAUGGAUGCCCUAGUUUCAACUAACACGAUGAAUCAUGUCAAUCACUGUAUAAAUAGUUAAUAAGUUGUGACUUUUUUUUUUGUCGGCUAAUAAGUUGUGACUUUAGGCACCGUCAAUAUUCAACUGUAAUUAUAAUCGUAUAUAAUAAGUGAUUAUAUCUGUCAAAUAUCAUAUAUAACAAAUAAUAUAAUUGUAUGUAUAUAUAUUAUCUCUAUCAACUAUAAUCAUAUACAGAAAGAAAAAAAACAAGUGUUACAUCACGCUUAGCUUAAAAGUUUCGACUUUUUGCACCGUCAUAUUUCACGUGUAAGCAAGAAAUACAAAUGUAAAUAGAUUAUAAUUAAUGAAUUCUCUCGACUCUCUCAACAUAGUAUAUAAAAGGAAAUCUACACAUGAACCGUAUCUUUCUCACUUUUGAAAUAUUUUGAUGUUUUAAAGAAAUUUUUUCAAAAUUUUAUAUAAAUUAUAAAUUAAUUUAAUAUUUUUUGAUUAUUUAUAUUUUUCAUCAGUCUUGUUCAUAAUUGGUUGAAUUGUUUUAAAGUAAAUAUUUCUUUAGCUAAAACAUCUUAUACAAUUAAAAGAAAAAAGUGUAAUCAAAUAACCAAAUAUAAAUUAGUAUUUCAAAUUAUACUUAUUGCAGGGUGAUAAACCUUUUGUCCCAAGUGAAGUUAAACCUAUAAAUAUAUACCCCAUUUAGAGGGUCCUAUAUAACUAAAGUACCACAUAUUUGGUGGUUUAUAUCAUUCAAUUUUUUUGUAACUAACUUAAUAUUUGAUAUGUAAAAUCAUGUUAAAAUAGGAUCAGCAGAUAGAAUAUAUAAAAAAUAAGUCAUGUACAAACGUAACGUUCUUCAUAUCUUAGGUAACGUAUCUAACAAUUUUGUUAAAUAUUAUUAUUUUAAAAAAUUGAACAUAUUAUUUGGAAACUUUUCUUUUGAUAAUUUUGAAAUGGCACUUUGUAAUUAAGAGUUUAAUAAAGAACACGUCACACACAAAAACGAAGAAAGAGAUUAUAGAAAUUAAGUUGUGUUUUCAAUCUUCGUGUAUACAAAACAAAAAUAAAAAUUAGAAAUGAUAUUUCAUACGAUGUUGUUAAAUAAUAUAAUUAUGAAAAUUAGUUGUGCUUUAUAUUAUUAUUUUUGUUGGAAGCUCUAGAAACGAUCGACCUAAUAGUAUAUUUUUGUCACUAAAAAGUGUGAUUAAAAUAUAUAUAUAUAUAUAUAUAUAUAUAUAUAUAUAUAUAAUAUUGUAAUUUUCAACCAAUUCUCGGUUUAGGUGGUUUAUUAUUAUAUUGUUUUUUGAAAAAAUUAAAAAAUAUAUCCUUAUUAGUUCAUUCUUUUCUGGUCAUUCGUUCACACUUUACAACUUGGUUAAUGGCCACUUCUCAAGUUAUCGUUCUUUCAUUUGUUCUACAGUCGCAAGAAAUUAUCGUUCUUUCAUUUGUCAUUAUGCAUAAUGAUUUCUCUUUUCUUUUUAGUGCAUAAUGAUCUCACUACAUAAAAAAAUCUAUCUUACGAUUCAACUAUAUUUAGUCCCAUGCACUCGCUGCAUAACACAUUACUUUCUUCGAUUUAGAGUGAUUUUCACAACCUUGUUUCUGUAUUGUAUAUUUAGUUAGUGUUUGUGAUUACCAAAAAAAAAAAUUGUUUCUUCUUGGCUUAGUCUUUUUAUCUUUUUUUUUUUUUUUGCUUCAUCUAUUUUUCCUCCCAUGACAGAUGAAGACGGCAAGAGAUGCAGCAAAUCUCAUUUAUGAUCUAUCUGAAGAAUCAGCGUCAUCGAUUUGGAGACUCGAACCAUAACAAAAAGAGCAUCACAGUUUCAAUUUAAUUGCUCCUGGCGCUUCCUAUUUCAGCAACAAACAUUAAAUAAUUAAUCCAAUAGAGAUGAUAUAUAUGGAAAUUUCAAAACCAAAAAAAGAAACUUUCAAAACCAAAAUUGCGAAGCCAUAGAAAUCGUGGAUCAUGGAAUUGCGAAGACCAAUGUUGACAUAUGGGAAUUUGGUGUCCCAAUGAGCAGAGAUCACUAAGAUUGGUUUUCGGGAGGAACUUUUUGAGUUCAUGAUUUGAAGAAUUGUCUCGCCUAUAAGCUAUCGUCCAUAGUUUGAGAUUCAUGCGACAAGAAGAAGGUUUGAUUCACUUUCUCCAUUUAAUUGAAUCAUCUUCAUAGAUAUAUUUUCAUACUUAAUCAAUGUUUUUACCAAAAAAAUAAUGUUAUUUUAUUAUUUUGGUUUUAUGUGGUUUGGGAUUGGUGUAGAUUAUAAACCGAUUAAACCAAUGUUUUUGUGUUCUGAGAUUUCAAACUUUUGAACUAAAUAAAUAUACGUUUUGGGGAAUAUCCAAUAUCAAUAUGUAUCAUAGUUUGGACUCUAUCUAUUCCAGUAUGAUAAUUCCCGUGGAAAAAUAUAUCAUCGUCUCUAUUUUAUACAUGCACUUGCAACACAAACCAGCCAUAAAGUGGGUCUAUUCUUAUAAUUUAUGACAACAUGGAACACUAUCAUUGGGCCACGAUGCAAGGAGCGAAGGACGAUGCGAGAAGGUGCUUUACUGAUUUGAUGAACGUGGAGGUGAUUCUGAAUGAUACGAGAUCUCUAAGCUGAAUAUAUAAUAGUAUAGUUUUUCGUAAUUUUUUUUUGUUAAAUUUUUUAUCGCUGCUAAAGAUUAAAUGGCGAGUAAAACUAUACUAUUAUACUUUCAAAGAUCACCCGAGAAAAUGAUGACUGCACAUACUUUCAAUAUCCCAUAGAUGACAUAUCUGUUUUAUUUCCAUCAAGCUAUUCAUCGAAACAAAAGCACAUGACGAUUAUGGGAGAGAAACACUACUCUAAAAUCCCGUAAUAAGCUGCACCACCUAAUUUUUUGUGCCUUGACCAAAAAAAAUUCAAUGUUGCAGUUCAACGAACCUUCUUACGGAGGAUCUUUAAACAAAAUUUAUUUGGUACAUAGAGAAAAAUAUUUUAAUAUAUACUAAUUUAAUGCCUCGCGAUCAACGAGUAGAGAAAAAAUAUGUCGCGUGUAUCUUCUUCCAUUGGUCAAUAAAUACCAAUGCAAUGUUUACUACACAAAUCAUUACUUCAGUCUCACUCUCAGGUCAGCUCUCUCCACAUCUCUCUCAUAUGAUUGUACUAUGUAUAAGAUUUGGUAAUAUUUGUAAUUACAAGUAAAAUUCGUAAAUACAGAUAAUAUUCGUAAGAGGUUGAUCAAACGAAAGCAAAAGAGAUGGCCCAAAAGGUUGAAGCACAAGGAGGAAAUGGCGGUAACCAAUGGGAUGAUGGAUCCGAAUACGACGCUGUGACCAAGAUUCAAGUCGCAGCAGGCGGGAACGGAAUUGAAUAUGUUAAGUUCACAUACGUCAAGAACGGACAAACCGAAGAAGCCCCUCUACGCGGUGUCAAGGGCCGUAGUUUCGAAGCAGAUCCGGUUCCUAUACACUAUCCUUGCCUAUCUCUUCAUUUUUAUCUAUAAGGACAUUGACGUGAAUUAAUAUAUAUAUAUAUAUAGGUUAUAUAUUGUCAAGGGUUUGUUUUGAUAAUGUUCUUUUUAAGAAAUUGACAUUUUGAUCUUGAUCUCUACAGUUUGUGAUAAACCAUCCGGAGGAGCACUUAGUUUCUGUAGAAGGUCGGUAUAACCCUGAAGGACUUAUUCUAGGGCUAACGUUCAAAUCCAACAAGAAGACUUCUGAUCUCAUUGGAUAUGAAGAUGGUACACCGUUCACUCUCCAAGUUCAAGACAAGAAGAUCGUUGGAUUUUAUGGCUUCGCUGGAAACAAUCUCCAUUCUCUUGGAGCGUACUUUGCUCCGUUGACUAAUGUAACCCCCUUGAAUGCCAAAAAGCUAGAAGCAAAGGGUGGUGACACGGGAGAUAUAUGGGAUGAUGGUGUUUACGAUAAUGUUAGAAAGGUAUAUGUAGGGCAAGCCCAAUAUGGUAUAGCCUUCGUCAAGUUUGAGUAUGUCAAUGGUUCUCAAGUGGUUGUUGGAGAUGAACAUGGAAAGAAGACAGAGCUAGGAGUUGAAGAGGUACAAAAAUAGAUAAUUCUAUGUUGUGAUUCGUCAAAAGGAUAUAUAUAUAUAUAUAUUUAUAUGGGUAACCUCACUCAAAAUUAUUUGGUUUCUUUGCAGUUUGAGAUUGAUGCGGAUGACUACAUCGUAUACGUGGAAGGAUACCGUGAGAAAGUUAAUGGUAUGACCUCAGAGAUGAUCACUUUUCUUUCAUUCAAGACUUAUAAAGGCAAAACCUCUCAGCCUAUCGAACAAAGACCUGGUAUUAAGUUUGUGCUACAAGGUGGAAAAAUUGUUGGGUUUCACGGACGUUCGACCGACGUUCUAGACUCCCUCGGGGCUUAUAUUUCAUUGUCGCCCACUCCAAACUUGCAUGGAAAGUGGACAAAGGUAGUAAUCUUUUAUAUAUCACCAUGGGAGCUAGUUCACUAAGCAGACUCUAUAUUAUAAAAAAUCCUAACUAACAAGUAUUAUUAAUUAAUUAUAAGGUGGAUGAAAAUGGAGAUGGUCCAGGGCUAAGAUGCUCGCAUGACAUAGCACAGGUAGGAAACAAGAUUUACUCUUUUGGUGGUGAGUUCACACCAAAUCAGCCCAUCGACAAACACCUUUACGUCUUUGACAUCGAGAGCCGGACUUGGUCCAUUUCUCCAGCCACGGGAGACAUUCCAACCCUCUCUUGCCUAGGUGUCUGUAUGGUGUCAAUAGGAUCGACCCUCUAUGUCUUUGGAGGCCGAGACGCUUCACGUCAAUACAACGGUUUCUACUCGUUUGACACGACCAC